Molecule: ribosomal RNA, 406 nt
Filed under: uncultured bacterium
Lineage: Bacteria
Description: partial 16S ribosomal RNA
Rfam family: Bacterial small subunit ribosomal RNA
Source: RNAcentral
AUUGAACGCUGGCGGCAGGCCUAACACAUGCAAGUCGAACGAGUGGCGGACGGGUGAGUAAUGUCUGGGAAACUGCCCGAUGGAGGGGGAUAACUACUGGAAACGGUAGCUAAUACCGCAUACCAUCGGAUGUGCCCAGAUGGGAUUAGCUUUUCUGUGAGGUAACGGCUCACCUAGGCGACGAUCCCUAGCUGGUCUGCGAGGAUGACCAGCCACACUGGACAGUAGACACGGUCCAGACUCGUACGGGAGGCAGCAGUGGGGAAUAUUGCACAAUGGGCGCAAGCCUGAUGCAGCCAGGCCGCGUGUAUGAAGAAGGCCUUCGGGUUGUAAAGUACUUUCAGCGGGGAGGCGUGACCCGCAGAAGAAGCACCGGCUAACUCCGUGCCAGCAGCCGCGGUAAUAC